AAAAUAUAGGACUAACGUGUUAGACUAUCUUAGGCUUUUCCUUUCUUCUUUUUCAGGCAAAAUAUGAUUCAAUGAUUUGGUGUGUGAUGCCAGAAACUCCCUAGGGUAAUUCUAACUAGUAGGUCCUCAAAUUAAAUUUCAGUCAAGUCCAUUUGCCAGAAUUCAUCACAUGGUCCUGCCUAACUGCAAGAAGGGCAGGGUACGCAGGAAGAAGAAAGGAACCAGAUUUGAAUUAAUAUUUUUCGUGUUUUGUUGAAGAAGGAUCUAAACAUCAAAGGAG
RNAcentral lists this long non-coding RNA (280 nucleotides) under Macaca nemestrina (pig-tailed macaque). RNAcentral describes it as "lncRNA (ENSMNEG00000045737.1)". The record is from RNAcentral. Lineage: Eukaryota; Metazoa; Chordata; Mammalia; Primates; Cercopithecidae.